AACGAACGCUGGCGGCAUGCCUAACACAUGCAAGUCGAACGAGAUCUUCGGGUCUAGUGGCGCACGGGUGCGUAACGCGUGGGAAUCUGCCCUUUGGUUCGGAAUAACAGUGGGAAACGACUGCUAAUACCGGAUGAUGACGAAAGUCCAAAGAUUUAUCGCCAGAGGAUGAGCCCGCGUAGGAUUAGCUAGUGGGUGUGGGAAAGGCGCACCAAGGCGACGAUCCUUAGCUGGUCUGAGAGGAUGAUCAGCCACACGGGGACUGAGACACGGCCCAGACUCCUACGGGAGGCAGCAGUGGGGAAUAUUGGACAAUGGGCGAAAGCCUGAUCCAGCAAUGCCGCGUGAGUGAUGAAGGCCUUAGGGUUGUAAAGCUCUUUUACCCGGGAUGAUAAUGACAGUACCGGGAGAAUAAGCUCCGGCUAACUCCGUGCCAGCAGCCGCCGUAA
Molecule: ribosomal RNA, 449 nt
Filed under: uncultured bacterium
Lineage: Bacteria
Description: partial 16S ribosomal RNA
Rfam family: Bacterial small subunit ribosomal RNA
Source: RNAcentral